Molecule: ribosomal RNA, 253 nt
Filed under: uncultured bacterium
Lineage: Bacteria
Description: partial 16S ribosomal RNA
Rfam family: Bacterial small subunit ribosomal RNA
Source: RNAcentral
UACGUAGGGGGCAAGCGUUGUCCGGAUUUAUUGGGCGUAAAGAGCGUGUAGGCGGCCUGACAGGUCUGCUGUGAAAACUCGAGGCUCAACCUCGAGAUGUCGGCGGAAACCGUCUGGCUAGAGUCCGGAAGAGGAGAGUGGAAUUCCUGGUGUAGCGGUGAAAUGCGCAGAUAUCAGGAGGAACACCGGUGGCGAAGGCGGAUCUCUGGGCCGUAACUGACGCUGAGGAGCGAAAGCAUGGGGAGCGAACAGG